UAGAGUUUGAAUCUGGCUCAGGAUGAACGCUAGCGGCAGGCCUAACACAUGCAAGUCGAGGGGCAGCGGGGAAAAGCUUGCUUUUCCGCCGGCGACCGGCGCACGGGUGCGCAACGCGUAUAGAAUCUGCCCCUUACCGGGGAAUAGCCCAGGGAAACUUGGAUUAAUGCCCCAUGGUAUAUGUUGACGGCAUCGUUUUCAUAUUAAAGGUUACGGUAAGGGAUGACUAUGCGUCCCAUUAGUUAGUUGGUAAGGUAACGGCUUACCAAGGCAGCGAUGGGUAGGGGCCCUGAGAGGGGGAUCCCCCACACUGGUACUGAGACACGGACCAGACUCCUACGGGAGGCAGCAGUGAGGAAUAUUGGACAAUGGGCGAAAGCCUGAUCCAGCCAUGCCGCGUGCAGGAAGACGGCCCUAUGGGUUGUAAACUGCUUUUGUACGGGAAGAAACCCGCCCACGUGUGGGCGAUUGACGGUACCGUAAGAAUAAGGACCGGCUAACUCCGUGCCAGCAGCCGCGGUAAUACGGAGGGUCCGAGCGUUAUCCGGAAUUAUUGGGUUUAAAGGGUCCGUAGGCGGGCCGUUAAGUCAGGGGUGAAAUGCUGCGGCUCAACCGUAGCACUGCCUUUGAUACUGGCGGUCUUGAGUUAUGGUGAAGUUGCCGGAAUAUGUGGUGUAGCGGUGAAAUGCAUAGAGAUCACAUAGAACACCGAUUGCGAAGGCAGGUGACUAACCAUAUACUGACGCUGAUGGACGAAAGCGUGGGGAGCGAACGGGAUUAGAUACCCCGGUAGUCCACGCCGUAAACGAUGGAUACUAGCUGUCCGGUACCUUGAGUACUGGGCGGCCAAGCGAAAGUGAUAAGUAUCCCACCU
Molecule: ribosomal RNA, 874 nt
Filed under: Kriegella sp.
Lineage: Bacteria; Pseudomonadati; Bacteroidota; Flavobacteriia; Flavobacteriales; Flavobacteriaceae
Description: bacterial SSU rRNA
Rfam family: Bacterial small subunit ribosomal RNA
Source: RNAcentral